This 243-nucleotide ribosomal RNA is filed under the name uncultured bacterium. RNAcentral describes it as "partial 16S ribosomal RNA". It matches the Rfam family "Bacterial small subunit ribosomal RNA", at positions 523 to 769 of the family's 1533-position model. The record is from RNAcentral.
AUACGUAGGGGGCGAGCGUUAUCCGGAAUUAUUGGGCGUAAAGAGUGCGUAGGUGGCCAUGUAAGCGCGGGGUGAAAGGCAAUAGCUUAACUAUUGUAAGCCUUGCGAACUGUGUGGCUUGAGUGCAGGAGAGGAAAGUGGAAUUCCUAGUGUAGCGGUGAAAUGCGUAGAUAUUAGGAGGAACACCAGUGCGAAGGCGCUUUCUGGACUGUACUGACACUGAGGCACGAAAGCGUGGGGAGC